This is a long non-coding RNA of Fukomys damarensis (Damara mole-rat), 640 nucleotides long. RefSeq lists it as uncharacterized. The record is from RefSeq and is a predicted model, not a curated record. NCBI's taxonomy places the organism in Eukaryota, Metazoa, Chordata, Mammalia, Rodentia, Bathyergidae. The transcript is spliced from 4 exons.
GGGGGCGGGGCCGGGCGGGAGUCCAUGCGCAUGCGCUCGGUUCUCCAGCAAAAGCAGGGCCUGGGGACUGAGAUUGGCUCCGAGUUCGGUUAAAAUAAGCCAGCCCCUGGGUUUGCCUACGGCAGAAAUCAGUUCAAGUCCUUGAGUAUGCGAGGCAAGCGGCGGCACCACUGAGCUAAACCCGCGGCCCAGAUGAUGAUAAUCAUAUUCAAGAACUGCCAGAAGGUUUCGACAGGUGUAAUGAGGUCUCAGAACAGUUGUAAUGCAAGGCGGGGAGAUGGAAAUUAUCAUCAGAGGAAGAUAUCUUAAGCCAGGGGCCCCUAGCCUCCAGACCACAGAUCAAUAGGGGUUCACAGAAGGAGGUUGUUGUGAGGACCCAGCGAAGUGGUACGUGGAGAUUCCUCAGGACAGUGCCUGGUACCCGGGAAGUGUUCCACAAAUGCUCGCUCUGGUGGCUGGCAUGCCAAGAUGGACAGCAAAGCUCAAGUCCCUUGGACAUUUCCUUCCCUUGCAUCCUGCUCAUGCCUCAGUUUCCCUUUCCCUUUCUACUCAGUAAACUCCUAUUCAUUUUUUUUAGUGGCUUAAAGAAACAAGCACUGCUUAUUUCUCCAGAUCUCAUGGGCCGAUGGGUGGCUCUCCU